UACGGGAGGCAGCAGUGGGGAAUAUUGGACAAUGGGCGAAAGCCUGAUCCAGCAAUGCCGCGUGAGUGAUGAAGGCCUUAGGGUUGUAAAGCUCUUUUACCCGGGAUGAUAAUGACAGUACCGGGAGAAUAAGCUCCGGCUAACUCCGUGCCAGCAGCCGCGGUAA
Molecule: ribosomal RNA, 166 nt
Filed under: uncultured bacterium
Lineage: Bacteria
Description: partial 16S ribosomal RNA
Rfam family: Bacterial small subunit ribosomal RNA
Source: RNAcentral